RNAcentral lists this non-coding RNA (231 nucleotides) under Candidatus Fischeribacteriota. The record is from RNAcentral.
AUAUAUAGAUGUGAUGCAGGUUCUUUGAAAAAUAAAUAUGCUGUCGAAUAGGGAAAAGGGUGAGAAACCCUUACGGUCCCGCCGCUGUAACCGGAGACAAGAUUCUUCGCUCAAUUGUUUUUCAGGAGAGAGAAAUUGAGGAAAUCGUCACUGUUGCGUUGAGCAAUGGGAAGGCUGAGGAAUUGAGGAUGAACCGGGAGUCAGAAAACCUGCUUCAGUAUGAAUUUUGUU